This 45-nucleotide transfer RNA is filed under the name Zygosaccharomyces rouxii. Its description in RNAcentral is "partial transfer RNA". Lineage: Eukaryota; Fungi; Ascomycota; Saccharomycetes; Saccharomycetales; Saccharomycetaceae. The record is from RNAcentral.
UCUCUGAUAUCUACGGAUGCAAGGGUUCGAAUCCCUUAGCUCUCA